RNAcentral lists this ribosomal RNA (492 nucleotides) under uncultured bacterium. Its description in RNAcentral is "partial 16S ribosomal RNA". It matches the Rfam family "Bacterial small subunit ribosomal RNA", at positions 29 to 507 of the family's 1533-position model. The record is from RNAcentral.
AGUGAACGCUGGCGGUAGGCCUAACACAUGCAAGUCGAACGGCAGCACAGUAAGAGCUUGCUCUUACGGGUGGCGAGUGGCGGACGGGUGAGGAAUACAUCGGAAUCUACUUUUUCGUGGGGGAUAACGUAGGGAAACUUACGCUAAUACCGCAUACGACCUACGGGUGAAAGCAGGGGAUCUUCGGACCUUGCGCGAUUGAAUGAGCCGAUGUCGGAUUAGCUAGUUGGCGGGGUAAAGGCCCACCAAGGCGACGAUCCGUAGCUGGUCUGAGAGGAUGAUCGGCCACACUGGAGCGGGGACACGGUCCAGACUCCUACGGGAGGCAGCAGUGGGGAAUAGUGGACAAUGGGCGCAAGCCUGAUCCAGCCAUACCGCGUGGGUGAAGAAGGCCUUCGGGUUGUAAAGCCCUUUUGUUGGGAAAGAAAAGCAGCAGGUUAAUACCCCGCUGUUCUGACGGUACCCAAAGAAUAAGCACCGGCUAACUUCGUG